GAUGGACGCUGGCGGCGUGCCUAAUACAUGCAAGUCGAGCGAACGGACGAGAAGCUUGCUUCUCUGAUGUUAGCGGCGGACGGGUGAGUAACACGUGGAUAACCUACCUAUAAGACUGGGAUAACUUCGGGAAACCGGAGCUAAUACCGGAUAAUAUUUUGAACCGCAUGGUUCAAAAGUGAAAGACGGUCUUGCUGUCACUUAUAGAUGGAUCCGCGCUGCAUUAGCUAGUUGGUAAGGUAACGGCUUACCAAGGCAACGAUGCAUAGCCGACCUGAGAGGGUGAUCGGCCACACUGGAACUGAGACACGGUCCAGACUCCUACGGGAGGCAGCAGUAGGGAAUCUUGCGCAAUGGGCGAAAGCCUGACGGAGCAACGCCGCGUGAGUGAUGAAGGUCUUCGGAUCGUAAAACUCUGUUAUUAGGGAAGAACAUAUGUGUAAGUAACUGUGCACAUCUUGACGGUACCUAAUCAGAAAGCCACGGCUAACUCCGUG
Molecule: ribosomal RNA, 497 nt
Filed under: uncultured bacterium
Lineage: Bacteria
Description: partial 16S ribosomal RNA
Rfam family: Bacterial small subunit ribosomal RNA
Source: RNAcentral